Molecule: long non-coding RNA, 153 nt
Filed under: Chinchilla lanigera (long-tailed chinchilla)
Lineage: Eukaryota; Metazoa; Chordata; Mammalia; Rodentia; Chinchillidae
Description: lncRNA (ENSCLAG00000022439.1)
Source: RNAcentral
AUUAGUUUCCCCUUUAGGAAAUUAUAAUACUACAUACCAGAAAUACUCUAGGGAAGGAAUGAAGAAAUCCAGGCCACUCUAAAGGCAAGCCAGUCUUCUAAAUCUGUUCUAAUGUUCUGAUGACUUUAGAAAGAAGGGAAGUGAAGCAGAACC